AAUGAACGCUGGCGGCGUGGAUUAGGCAUGCAAGUCGAACGCGAAAGUUCCCUUCGGGGAGCGAGUAGAGUGGCGAAAGGGUGAGUAAUGCUUGGAUGACCUGCCCUCGAGACGGGGACAACAGUUCGAAAGGACUGCUAAUACCCGAUAGUCCGGUUUAGAUGCGUCUAGAUCGGUAAAUGGUGCUUCCGCUCGAGGAGGGGUUCAAGUCCUAUCAGCUUGUUGGUGAGGUAACGGCUCACCAAGGCGAUGACGGGUAGCCGGACUGAGAGGUUGGCCGGCCACAUGGGAACUGAGACACGGUCCAGACUCCUACGGGAGGCAGCAGUGGGGAAUUUUGCGCAAUGGGCGAAAGCCUGACGCAGCGACGCCGCGUGUGCGAUGAAGGCCUUUGGGUCGUAAAGCACUGUCGACAGGGACGAAAGCUCGCUGGCUAAUAUCCGGCGAGGUUGACGGUACCUGUAAAGGAAGCACCGGCUAACUCUGUGCCAGCAGCCG
RNAcentral lists this ribosomal RNA (498 nucleotides) under uncultured bacterium. RNAcentral's name for it is "bacterial SSU rRNA". It matches the Rfam family "Bacterial small subunit ribosomal RNA", at positions 29 to 517 of the family's 1533-position model. The record is from RNAcentral.